RNAcentral lists this transfer RNA (73 nucleotides) under Fidelibacterota bacterium. RNAcentral's name for it is "tRNA-Thr". It matches the Rfam family "tRNA". Rfam says of the family: Transfer RNA (tRNA) molecules are approximately 80 nucleotides in length. Lineage: Bacteria; Pseudomonadati; Fidelibacterota. The record is from RNAcentral.
GCCACCGUAGCUCAGUUGGUAGAGCAUUUCAUUCGUAAUGAAGAGGUCGGAGGUUCGAAUCCUCUCGGUGGCU